CCUACGGGUGGCAGCAGUGAGGAAUAUUGGUCAAUGGACGAGAGUCUGAACCAGCCAAGUAGCGUGAAGGAUGACUGCCCUAUGGGUUGUAAACUUCUUUUAUAAAGGAAUAAAAUGUUCCACGUGUGGGAUUUUGUAUGUACCAUAUGAAUAAGGAUCGGCUAACUCCGUGCCAGCAGCCGCGGUAAUACGGAGGAUCCGAGCGUUAUCCGGAUUUAUUGGGUUUAAAGGGAGCGUAGGUGGAUUGUUAAGUCAGUUGUGAAAGUUUGCGGCUCAACCGUAAAAUUGCAGUUGAAACUGGCAGUCUUGAGUACAGUAGAGGUGGGCGGAAUUCGUGGUGUAGCGGUGAAAUGCUUAGAUAUCACGAAGAACUCCGAUUGCGAAGGCAGUUCACUGGACUGCAACUGACACUGAGGCUCGAAAGUGUGGGUAUCAAACAGGAUUAGAUACCCGAGUAGUC
This 460-nucleotide ribosomal RNA is filed under the name uncultured bacterium. RNAcentral describes it as "partial 16S ribosomal RNA". It matches the Rfam family "Bacterial small subunit ribosomal RNA", at positions 338 to 795 of the family's 1533-position model. The record is from RNAcentral.